ACUGAACGCUGGCGGCAUGCCUUACACAUGCAAGUCGAACGGCAGCACGGGAGCAAUCCUGGUGGCGAGUGGCGAACGGGUGAGUAAAGUAUCGGAACGUGCCCAGUCGUGGGGGAUAACGUAGCGAAAGUUACGCUAAUACCGCAUACGAUCUAUGGAUGAAAGCGGGGGAUCGCAAGACCUCGCGCGAUUGGAGCGGCCGAUAUCAGAUUAGGUAGUUGGUGGGGUAAAGGCUCACCAAGCCGACGAUCUGUAGCUGGUCUGAGAGGACGACAAGCCACACUGGGACUGAGACACGGCCCAGACUCCUACGGGAGGCAGCAGUGGGGAAUUUUGGACAAUGGGCGAAAGCCUGAUCCAGCCAUGCCGCGUGCAGGAUGAAGGCCUUCGGGUUGUAAACUGCUUUUGUACGGAACGAAAAGGUUUGGCCUAAUAAGCUGAGCUCAUGACGGUACCGUAAGAAUAAGCACCGGCUAACUACGUGCCAGCCGCCGCGGUAA
This 500-nucleotide ribosomal RNA is filed under the name uncultured bacterium. Its description in RNAcentral is "partial 16S ribosomal RNA". It matches the Rfam family "Bacterial small subunit ribosomal RNA", at positions 30 to 523 of the family's 1533-position model. The record is from RNAcentral.